AUGUUAUUCUCCAAGUCCAAGGAGAAGGAGAAUCCUUGGGCUGAAAGAGACAUGCCCGAUUUCCUUUGCUUGCGUAUCGAUCACCUGGACCUUUCAAAGGCAACUUCUGGACGUUUCUGCAGAGAACAGAUGGCUAGGUCUAAAUGCGAAGUUGCAGACAACCAGACGCUGCAUGCCAAAACGAGGGAGAAAAGUAGUAGAGUAUUUGCCGGAGAGGAGUAUAAAGAUACUCGAGAGCAAUCCAAAGGAUGCGGCCGGUCAACAGAACGGAACUGGCUCCCCAGCUGGCCCACCCUGUUUGAAUCUCAUGACAAAGCAAAAGUGUCGGCCUCAUGCCCUCAUGGCUAA
RNAcentral lists this ribosomal RNA (348 nucleotides) under Triticum aestivum (bread wheat). Its description in RNAcentral is "partial small subunit ribosomal RNA". The record is from RNAcentral. Lineage: Eukaryota; Viridiplantae; Streptophyta; Magnoliopsida; Poales; Poaceae.